Molecule: ribosomal RNA, 449 nt
Filed under: uncultured bacterium
Lineage: Bacteria
Description: partial 16S ribosomal RNA
Rfam family: Bacterial small subunit ribosomal RNA
Source: RNAcentral
AAUGAACGCUGGCGGCAGGCCUGACACAUGCAAGUCGAACGGAUCCUUCGGGAAUAGUGGCGGACGGGUGAGUAACGCGUGGGAACAUACCCAAAGGUACGGAAUAGCCUCGGGAAACUGGGAGUAAUACCGUAUGUGCUCGAAAGAGGAAAGAUUUAUCGCCUUUGGAUUGGCCCGCGUUGGAUUAGUGAGUUGGUGGGGUAAUGGCCUACCAAGCCGACGAUCCAUAGCUGGUUUGAGAGGAUGAUCAGCCAGACUGGGACUGGGACACGGCCCGGACUCCUACGGGAGGCAGCAGUGGGGAAUCGUAGACAAUGGGGGAAAUCAUGAUCUAGCCAUGCCGGGUGAUAGAUGAAGGCCUUAGGGUUGUAAAGACCUUUCAGGUGGGGAGAGAAUGACUGUACCACCAGAAGAAGCCCCGGCUAACUCCGUGCCAGCCGCCGCUGUAA